GCCCCCUUGGUCUAGCGGCCCAGGACACCAGGAUCUCAUCCUGGAGACGUCGGUUCGAGUCCGGCAGGGGGUA
RNAcentral lists this transfer RNA (73 nucleotides) under Planctomycetota bacterium. RNAcentral's name for it is "Planctomycetes bacterium tRNA-Glu". It matches the Rfam family "tRNA". Rfam says of the family: Transfer RNA (tRNA) molecules are approximately 80 nucleotides in length. Their secondary structure includes four short double-helical elements and three loops (D, anti-codon, and T loops). The record is from RNAcentral. Lineage: Bacteria; Pseudomonadati; Planctomycetota.